RNAcentral lists this ribosomal RNA (439 nucleotides) under uncultured bacterium. RNAcentral describes it as "bacterial SSU rRNA". It matches the Rfam family "Bacterial small subunit ribosomal RNA", at positions 954 to 1392 of the family's 1533-position model. The record is from RNAcentral.
GCUAAACGCGAAGAACCUUACCUGGGUUUGACAUACGCAGGACGACAUCAGAGAUGGUGUUUCCCUUGUGGUCUGUGUACAGGUGGUGCAUGGCUGUCGUCAGCUCGUGUCGUGAGAUGUUGGGUUAAGUCCCGCAACGAGCGCAACCCUUGUUCCAUGUUGCCAGCGCGUAAUGGCGGGGACUCAUGGGAGACUGCCGGGGUCAACUCGGAGGAAGGUGGGGAUGACGUCAAGUCAUCAUGCCCCUUAUGUCCAGGGCUUCACACAUGCUACAAUGGCCGGUACAAAGGGCUGCGAUGCCGUGAGGUGGAGCGAAUCCUUUCAAAGCCGGUCUCAGUUCGGAUCGGGGUCUGCAACUCGACCCCGUGAAGUCGGAGUCGCUAGUAAUCGCAGAUCAGCAACGCUGCGGUGAAUACGUUCCCGGGUCUUGUACACACCG